CAGUAGCCGCGGGAAAACGAAGGGUGCAAGCGUUACUCGGAAUUACUGGGCGUAAAGCGUGCGUAGGUGGUUGUUUAAGUCUGCUGUGAAAGCCCUGGGCUCAACCUGGGAAUUGCAGUGGAUACUGGGCGACUAGAGUAAGGUAGAGGAUAGUGGAAUUUCCGGUGUAGCAGUGAAAUGCGUAGAGAUCGGAAGGAACAUCUGUGGCGAAGGCGACUAUCUGGGCCAUUACUGACACUGAGGCACGAAAGCGUGGGGAGCAAACAGGAUUAGAUACCCGCGUAGUCCCUGUCUCUUAUAC
This 301-nucleotide ribosomal RNA is filed under the name uncultured bacterium. Its description in RNAcentral is "partial 16S ribosomal RNA". It matches the Rfam family "Bacterial small subunit ribosomal RNA", at positions 509 to 807 of the family's 1533-position model. The record is from RNAcentral.